UUCAUUGUAUUUAAAAAAUUCUUAAUGCUUGCCUAGGGAUGUAAAGCAAUACAUCCUCAUACCUAUUUAGAAGUAACUGGUAAACUGGUUUCGGAUCUUUGAAGUGUAAAUUGCACAAAGCUGAACUAUCUCUAUGCUGUUAAUUUGAUGGUCUUUUGGUUGUCUACUAUUUUAAACGUUGAUGAGUUCCAUCUUGUUGGUUUACAUGAAUUAGAACCUCUCAGUUAAUAGACUUUGCUCAUCCAACCAAAGAACAUGGGCGCCUUGUUUUUGACUUAAGUUAAUAUACUUUGCAAGUGUUGCAGACCAUAUGCCAUUUUAAUCUCAUGCCAUGUCUUGUGGUUGAAGACUAAUUGUUCAUUAGCUGUUAUGAUUUCUUGCUUUCUUCUUCUUCUUCUCACUAAAACAUUAGCAACUUUCAAGAUUUGAUAUUUUUCCUAUUCCCCAAUCCCCAAUCUUUAAGCUUCUAUAUAUUUGGCUUCACUCUUUGCUAUCCUUUGUAUUAUGAUUGGUCAUUGAUGUUUUGUUGCUUUGCAGAGUUCCCCACUGUUGAAGAGCGUUAGAUAUUAAGAGCUGCAGGGCAUAUGCAAGGGGUUUGACCACCAUUAUCUUGAUUUCUUGAAUUGUAUAGGUGAUUAUUGUCUUUUAAUUUCAAUUUUCUUUGUAAGAUUGAUCAAAGCCUUCUCAGAGAGCUUUCAUUUGUGAAUGGCCAUUUCACUUGUUGCUGCUUGGAAUAAUUGAUAACUGCAUUGUGCAGGGCAGAAUAAUCAUGCCCUCUUCAUGGUUCUUCUAGUUGGGUUUCUUAGUACUGAAGCUUCUUCCAUAAUUUGCUCAUUCCAAUUUGCCAAAGGUUCUUAUCUCUUAGGUGGAAGCACUAGGUUCGAGUUAGGUCAUUCUAUUCUGAUUGGUCUGGCUGGAAGUUUGGUUACCAGUACAAUGCUAUUCACUUCUCCAAGUGCUAUGGCAGGUCUGGUUUGUUUUUGCUUAAUAUCCAAGUCCUUCAUUUUACUUGAAAGCCCAUCAGUAAAGUAUUUUAGGGAGGGUAAAAGGUGUUGAAGUAGCUUGCCAAUGCGUUCCAAAACCAGCAGGGCCUUGUGACAAGGGAUUGACAGAAACCAGAACUGAAACUAUACAUUGAGCCUGAAGUAGAUCGAUGCUAUAAAACCACUUGCAUUUUUCUAUUGUUUUGGAGGAACAAAAGUUUUGGAGAAGGAACCUGGCACAUCCAUGUCAUUUUCUUGAAGAAUUCUAACUUUGGAACCCAAAGGUAUCCUUAGGAACUCAAAGAGGAGGUCCACGACCAAUACCUCCCUGCCUCUGCAUAUAACACCUUUUUUGAAUGAUUGCCCACAAGGAGACUGCAAGCUUAUGCCGUUAGUUUCCUUUGCAGCAAUGGAGCGAGAAGCAGUUAGCUCUUCAUUAUGCAUGAUAUUUCCUGUAUUCCUAGUUUUUCCUUUGUUGUAAGACCUGGCCAAAGGGCUUCGAUUUGGAACAGACAGUUCAAGUUAAAUAUAUAGGGGACGAAACUAGAUUGUAGGGCAGUCCAGUUCGGUUUCAAUUUCAAUUUCAAUUUCUGUUCGGUUUUGAUUUUGAUUAAUUUCUUAAUGAGGUGAGCUCAUUAUUUGCAAUAAUCAAAAGGAGGAAAAUGAUAAGCUCUUUUGCUUUUCCUAAAUCAAAUGGGGAAUUAUAUCAUAAAUAUUAAAGAAUUAUAUGUCCAGCUCUUGCACAGGCUUCCAAACCGCCGGACAAUAUACGCAAAAAGUGAGAGAAAAGUAGAAUCUUUUAUCAUCGGCCUGCACUGACUCCGACUCUAUUAUUGCAUGCUCUGCCAAAAAUCACUGCCCCAUCUAUACAUUUAUGAAGAUCAGCAAUUUAUGGCUUGUAUGUAGUGACUGUAUAUGUACGUAUCCACAUUCAGGUUACGUUAUUCAAGUUUGUUUUUUUCCUCCUUUUUCAUGAGACAGAGAUUAUAUUCCACCAGAGAAUGGAGUAACGUAUAAAUGCGAGAGGCUUUACACUCAA
Molecule: long non-coding RNA, 2022 nt
Organism: Hevea brasiliensis (rubber tree)
Lineage: Eukaryota; Viridiplantae; Streptophyta; Magnoliopsida; Malpighiales; Euphorbiaceae
Exons: 3
Source: RefSeq, a predicted model, not a curated record